UCUGGCCAGAUUGGAGCAGUUUAACCAAGACAGUGAAACAGGGAAAAGUCAACACUAUCAAAGGCAAAUGGAAAAGCCUGAAAGACGCCUUUAUCCGCCAUCGCCGCAAACAAAAGGAGCAGAGGAGCGGAUCCUCCCCAGGCGGACGCUCCAGUUAUGUGCAUGCAGCACAAAUGUCUUUUUUGAUAUCGUGCACCGAAAUGCGGAGCACCGAUAGUAGCUGGGAACCCAGCCAGGCGCAAGCUGAUGAGGAAGAGGACGAGGGCACAAUGGACAGUGAGCCGGGCCCAUCUAUGGGGCCAAUGAGUCCUCCAGCCCCCCCCCCCCACUCCGACUUUC
Bufo gargarizans (Asiatic toad) is the source of this 339-nucleotide long non-coding RNA. RefSeq lists it as uncharacterized. NCBI's taxonomy places the organism in Eukaryota, Metazoa, Chordata, Amphibia, Anura, Bufonidae. The record is from RefSeq and is a predicted model, not a curated record. The transcript has 3 exons.